AUUGAACGCUGGCGGCAGGCCUAACACAUGCAAGUCGAGCGGAUGAAGGGAGCUUGCUCCUGGAUUCAGCGGCGGACGGGUGAGUAAUGCCUAGGAAUCUGCCUGGUAGUGGGGGAUAACGUCCGGAAACGGGCGCUAAUACCGCAUACGUCCUGAGGGAGAAAGUGGGGGAUCUUCGGACCUCACGCUAUCAGAUGAGCCUAGGUCGGAUUAGCUAGUUGGUGGGGUAAAGGCCUACCAAGGCGACGAUCCGUAACUGGUCUGAGAGGAUGACCAGUCACACUGGAACUGAGACACGGUCCAGACUCCAACGGGAGGCAGCAGUGGGGAAUAUUGGACAAUGGGCGAAAGCCUGAUCCAGCCAUGCCGCGUGUGUGAAGAAGGUCUUCGGAUUGUAAAGCACUUUAAGUUGGGAGGAAGGGCAGUAAGUUAAUACCUUGCUGUUUUGACGUUACCAACAGAAUAAGCACCGGCUAACUUCGUG
Molecule: ribosomal RNA, 484 nt
Filed under: uncultured bacterium
Lineage: Bacteria
Description: partial 16S ribosomal RNA
Rfam family: Bacterial small subunit ribosomal RNA
Source: RNAcentral